CCCUUCUCCUGAGGGGCAGAGAAAAGGGGUUGCCGCUGUAGAGACCAGGCUGGAACCUGCCCCGCCAGAAGCCAGCAGCAGCCAGAAGAGGGCCACCAGACCUGAGCUCGGCAGGAAGGGUUUUUCCGGGAGAUGGGCAGAGUAGCCUCAUCUUUCAGGGCUGGGGGCUCUUCGCUUUCAGCCUUCACGAUGGUUCUACAGACCUUCAGUGCUGUGCUUAUCACAUGGCACAGAAUCAUUGAUGCCCUCCUCUGUCUCGCCGACUAGACGGUGAAGUUGGGCCGCCUGUUUUUGAUUUCCCAUGCCUGGCAGAGGGCUGCAUGUGGUAGAGCCUUCAUGACGCAUGAAGUGCCCUGGUUGAUCACCUAGAGUACCUGCUUCCCAGAGCAGACACUUCUUGCCUAAAGAACCUCUGUUCUGCUCAAUUUGCUCUCGUCAGCACGAUGAUGCUGAAAGGGUUAGAUGGACUCCAGUGAAGUUAGCUACGAAAAGGUUUCCUGGUUAACCCUAAAUCUAAGUUUCUAUCAGAAAUCUUCUUUCCCAGAAGCCUUCUGACAAAUUUGUAUAUUACAGUUCACUUUCUUCAUGAAUAUGGGCCUAUUUAACGUGAUUCUUGCUUUCCAUUAUUAAGAACAAGAUUUGGGGGGAAGAGAAAUCUAUUUUGAGUAUUUGAGAGAGACUUGAUACACACUUCUGAAUUUCAUACAUGAGAGGAUGUAAUCUUGUCAGUACUCUAAGGAAAGUAGCCCUUUGGUUACUUUUUAAGAUCAGACUAAAUCCUAGAGAUAAAUCGAUAGCUUGAUUUAACAAAAAUUUAUAGAAUGCUACUAUGUAGACAGCCUUGACCAAAGCACCGUAGUAGAGUCAAAGGUGAAUGAAACCUGACCCCUGCCCUCCAGGGGCUGACUUAAUGAAUAUCUCUGGAGAAUUCUAUCAUCUCCUGUUAUCAUGAUCGCAAACCUAGGAUGUUAUUGGGAAACUGAAACUCAGCUGUCCAAGUGACAAAGCCGAGACCCUAAUACGAGUCUGUCUGACUCCAAAAUCCAUCUUCUUUCUAAUUUAUCCUCUUUCCAAUGUACCUAGGAAAGGAAAAAGUUCUCUAUGGAUACAGGAUCAAUGCUUGGGGAAAGUCAAAGAUCUAAGCGUUGGGGCCAAGGACAGAUAUGGAGAUCAGAGAAGACUCCUUGAAGGAAAAUAAAUGAGAUCCCUGUUGAAGAUCCUUCUUUGUCAGGAAAGUGAAAUAACUACAGAAACAUGGUGAGAGUAGGGCUCCUCUGCCCGAACCUUCAAAUUCUGUGCGUGGGAAUUCUCUGAGAGAGGCUGCUGGGGGUCACCCUGAAGACGGUCCCAUGGAGGGAACAGCUCAAGGUAAGUGAAAGUAGAAGGAAACUCGUGUCUUGUGCUAGGGAAAUCCUCCUGCUUAAUGGAACCAGUUUAAAGCCAUACAAAAAAAAUCUCUGUUUCUAUAUGCAGACCAUGCAUGUCCUUGGCCUUGGUUAGACAAUGAGCUGUGGGAGGAAGCCAACAGAAUGAUCCGGAAGACGGGCAAGAAGAAUUGGAGGAGAAACUGCCUCUCGUUCAACAUGGAGGGAAGAUUGGAUCCAGUGAAGGUCCACUCACCAUUCUGACACCUGUUUCCAGAGAAAGGGGCUGGACAGCUGCAGGUGAAUGUGGCCCCGCUGAUGAGGCAGUCUCCACCAUGUGCACAGGGGUUGGACAGGCAUGGAUCUAAAACACGUGGGCGGAAGUCAAGGUUGCAAUGAACAGCAGGCAAGAAGCCCCCUGUCUGCUCAUUGAAUUUCCAUCUCCUGCCCCAAAUGAGAGAGGAACUUCCCAGCCAGGGAUUGGGGAAAGGGGGAAACAUGCAUUGACCUUCCAGAGCCAGGAACACUGCCAUCACAAGACCAGAGGGAGGGAUUCAGGUUAGUAAGAGGAGAGGCAAGAAGGAAUCGUGACUGUCUCCCUCAGCCUGGCUUUGGAUGGGGCCUUUCUCGCUGAGUAACUCCUCUUUUCCGUCAUCAGUAUCUCUCUCCUCCCAGUCUCGCUGGGAGUGCCACGGGGUCUGUCUCUGAUGCCGAAGGCAUUUCACAAGCCUGAAGACCUCCCCUACUUCCAGUGCCCAGGGGUGGAGGUCAGGAGUGGGGAACGAAAUCCCACCCCUAAUGAAACACAAGCUUUCUGAACAUCAGGAAAGAAGACCAAAGGCAAGAGGGGGACAGAAGAAUUGACGGCAAGGAGGAAAUGACCCAGUGGCCUUCAUCUUUCUUCAACUACUUGUUCAGUUAGAUUUUGUCAUAUUUCAUCUGUGCCUUUGGCUUUUCAUGGUUGUCUGAAUGGAUCUUCCCUUGGGGAAUUCUUUAUCCUUCUGUUCACACACAUUGUUCUUUGGUUCAGGAACUAGGAUCCCUGGGCCUCUGGCUCUUGUUUUGAUGGUCCCUUCUGAUGUUCCCCUGAUGCCCCGUAUCUUGGCCCUGCCUUCCAGGCCACUUCGCAGUUACACAGCUUUUAUUCCAGCUGUUAAGUGCUUUCCAUUACUUCUACUGAUUUAGUCACAUGGCUUUGCUUAGGCCCAGCUUCUCAUUUUCCUUUCUGUCUCAAGAAGCCACAAAAACAAAACCACACGUGGCCGAAGCACACAUGUGUGAGUGUGCGUGCACACACACACACCACACACACACACACACACACACACACAACAACUGUGCAAAUCUUCUGAAGAGUGAAGAGAGAGGAAAAAAAAAAAAACCACAGCACAGCACAAUGCCAAAUUUGUGAAUGCUGCAGUUUGAUGCCUAAUGCUAAGACAGACUCUUCUGCAUAAUUAGGACUACCUGUCAUGAAAGCUCUGGGGAUGUUUUGAACAUGACUCUAACCCACAGUGUCGGGAGAGCUGGAUGAUGAUGCCCUAACUUGCUGCGUGACCUUGGCUAAGUCAGCUCCCCUCUUGGCCUCACUUGCUUCACCUGUCAUUUGAAAGUGGGAGAGACGGUCUCUAAGAACCUCCCCAGUAUUCAUAGUAUGUAAUUCUAACUGAAAAAAAGCCAGUCUAAAUAAUUUUUUAAUACCUAUUUUAUGAUGCUGGUCAGAGAGGAAGAGAAGAGAGAGCCCUUGCAUGGGGUCACACAUAAACUCCCCUCCAGAUGUGCUGCUCUCCUCCCAGGAAGGCCCCCCAAACAGCUUUGGUACCUACCGUCCUCUGCGUAGUACCAGUCAGGGUUCUCGGGAUGGACAAGAGCACUGCUGGCGUUCUCUUCCUGGUCAUAAUACUCUUGGCUGUACUCAUAGUGGUCGAGAGUCCAAUCUACAGAUGUGGGAACAGGACAGAAGAAACCCUAAUCAUAAGACCUAAAGAAGUCACCAUUUUAUUUCACUGAAAACCCCCUUUCCCAAAGAUUUCUAGGUCCUGAAGGAGGGUUCAUGUGUCUUUCCAGCUCCUGACACUGACGGGGCAGAUAGAAGGGGUCAGGCACCAUGAGUUUUCAUUUGAGGGGGCUGUUAUGACCCAGUGAGCCAGCACUGGCAUUUGGCCAGGUCAAGAGCACGUGAUUGGAAAUGGGGAGAAGACGACAAGUUCUGGCUUUUCACUAACCGUGACCUUGGACAAGCCAAUUGUAUUCUCCGUGCCUCAGUUUUCUCACCUGUAAAGAGCAGGAAGAUGACUGGGGCGCAGGAAGUCUCCAAGGUCCUGUUUGAGAUCUGCCCAGGGUCAGAUCCAGUGGCACUUGAGUGCCUUGUUGGGUGGUUCUGUGAAUGAAAUUUCUCAGCGGGACUUUAUCAGUCACCUUAGCUGAAUAAAGUCAAAGAAACUUGUCACUCUUCUUUCAGCUUCAGCAUCAAACUACUCCCGAGUUAUUUAUAUAGAAUCAUCGUAACUGUUAAUAUUUACUGAGUCUUUACUAUGUACCAGGCUCUGGACUAAGCAUUUUACAUGAACCACCCCAUUCCAUUCUCAUAAAAAUCUAGAUGUAUUAUUAUCUCUACUUUAAGCUUAGAAACCUGAGGCUAAAAGAGGUUAAGUAACUUGUCCAAGGUCACAUAGCUAAUAAAUGACAGCAUAUGAACUAAGGCAGUUUAUCUCCAUAUAUCCCUUAAACUGCACUCUCUCAACUGCUUCAGCAGGCCUCUCAUACUGCCUCAGAUAAUUCACAGUUACCCUUGGGAAAGGGGUCCUAUCAUUCCCAUUGCAUAUCCAGCCUGCUAUUUAGGAAUUGUCCAAGGACAGCCUUGAGAAGUUUCACGGAUCUUGCCUACUGAAAGAAAGGGCAGUAUAUGGAGUUGCCCAUGGUUGUAAACCUUACACUAGACCAGUCCAUCAGGAAGAGCAGGUGUGUGUAAGCCUGGACUCAAGCUCUUUGUUGUCUGGGGCCUUGGAAGAUGCUGAUAGCUCUGUGGCUGAUGGAGAGGAGUUUGGGAUUUGAAGAAAGUUGGGUUCACUUUGCUCUCUCCAGCUGGCAGGAGUAUGGCAAGUCAGCAAGUCGAAGCUGUAAGGAAGCUGUCCAGAGAUGCAUAUGAUAAUGAGGCAGGAGCAAAUGCAGAUAGCCGACUUGAAAAGGCACUCCCACGGAGCCAGCGAUGGCCGGGAGGAUGGCACUUUACCUAAGCCCGAUUAUCAACCACAUUAUCUUAUUCGUCUCUCAGUUAUUCCCUUAUAGUCUUUAUAUCUUUGGCUUUUGAAAAAUCGACUUUUGCACAAUGGCUGUUUUAUAUUUCCCAUUAAAAUGGAACUAUCUUUUUAUUUCCUUUUUGAAUACGCCAACUCUGGUUCCUUGCCAAAGUUUCACCUCAUUUAUCACAGUGUCAAGUCAAGACUCCCUUUGCUUCCUCAUUAUUUCUCCCGAGCUGCUUUUCCCCACUAUGAAAAUGCUCUCAGAGGAGGCCACCUUUCCAGGCAAGAGGAUCUAGGUUGAAGAUAAGGCCAUUGUCCUCCUGGAGCAAAUAAAGUUUCUUUCCAUCUAGCAUGAUAAAGCAGAGAAAGGGUGAGAAAGUAAGGGGGAAAAAAAAUGUUUUUCUGAGUUUGACAUGAAAGAUUUCAAACUGACAUUUGGAAGAGACAAUGAGUUUGGUAAUGAGAUGAUUGCCCCAUUUCUUUCUUUCUUUUUUCUUUGGAGAAUUGAUUUUUGUUUUUCCAACAGGUGUUUAUAGAUAAGCGCCUUCGAAUUGCUCCUGUAAUUUCUCCCGUCACUCCCACAAGUCGAGGGUCAGACUGGAUAAUCUUGGUUAGACCAUUAAGAAUCAUUUCUUUUGCAGAUAUUUGGAAAUGAGGGAAGGUUUUUCAUAAAGAUGGAGUGGUAUGAUUUUUCCAGGUGACAGAGGAUGGAUGAAAUGUCUGUUGGA
Molecule: long non-coding RNA, 5334 nt
Organism: Physeter macrocephalus (sperm whale)
Lineage: Eukaryota; Metazoa; Chordata; Mammalia; Artiodactyla; Physeteridae
Exons: 3
Source: RefSeq, a predicted model, not a curated record